UACUUGUACUGAUUGAGAUUUUAACACGAAGUGAGUGGCGAACGGGUGAGUAACACGUGGGUAACCUGCCCAGAAGUAGGGGAUAACACCUGGAAACAGGUGCUAAUACCGUAUAACAACAAAAUCCGCAUGGAUUUUGUUUGAAAGGUGGCUUCGGCUAUCACUUUUGGAUGGUCCCGCGGCGUAUUAGCUAGAUGGUGGGGUAACGGCUCACCAUGGCAAUGAUACGUAGCCGACCUGAGAGGGUAAUCGGCCACAUUGGGACUGAGACACGGCCCAAACUCC
RNAcentral lists this ribosomal RNA (285 nucleotides) under uncultured Lactobacillus sp. RNAcentral's name for it is "partial 16S ribosomal RNA". It matches the Rfam family "Bacterial small subunit ribosomal RNA", at positions 65 to 339 of the family's 1533-position model. Lineage: Bacteria; Bacillati; Bacillota; Bacilli; Lactobacillales; Lactobacillaceae. The record is from RNAcentral.